UCUUUUUAUUUUCUCAACUAACUCUGUCAAACAAACAAGCGUAAACAUCAAGGCCUUGCGACCCUGUGCUAAUGUUGUGAGAUACUACGCAAGCGCAGCACUCGCAAAAGAUUUGUAAUGAUCCUUCCGCAGGUUCACCUACGGAAA
This 147-nucleotide unclassified non-coding RNA is filed under the name uncultured fungus. Its description in RNAcentral is "sequence contains ITS1". Lineage: Eukaryota; Fungi. The record is from RNAcentral.